ACCUACUGUUUAAUUUUGAGGGUUCGUUUUUACGAAUACUCAAAACUAGCACUUUAAGCAACGGGAUUUAUCCGUUGGCGCCGUGCUUUAGCACUUUGAAAACUGCAUAUAUAUAUUUAGUGAUAUGACAUCUAAUUUGUAAUAUAUAAAGCUGAUAACUUUUAAAAUUAUCGAAGUUGAUAGCUUCUAAUCUAUCAAACCUUUUUAACUGGUCAA
This 216-nucleotide unclassified non-coding RNA is filed under the name Clostridioides difficile. Its description in RNAcentral is "16S-23S ribosomal RNA intergenic spacer (ISR)". Lineage: Bacteria; Bacillati; Bacillota; Clostridia; Peptostreptococcales; Peptostreptococcaceae. The record is from RNAcentral.